This 212-nucleotide non-coding RNA is filed under the name Thermosinus carboxydivorans. Its description in RNAcentral is "T-box sequence". It matches the Rfam family "T-box leader". Rfam says of the family: Uncharged tRNA acts as the effector for transcription antitermination of genes in the T-box leader family. T-boxes are found upstream of many aminoacyl-tRNA synthetase genes and some amino acid biosynthetic genes usually in Gram-positive bacteria. The anticodon of a specific tRNA base pairs to a specifier sequence within the T-box motif, and the NCCA acceptor tail of the tRNA base pairs to a conserved bulge in the T-box antiterminator hairpin. Lineage: Bacteria; Bacillati; Bacillota; Negativicutes; Selenomonadales; Sporomusaceae. The record is from RNAcentral.
GAUAAUCCGAAGACGCAGGGUAGUAAGCACAUAAAGAUAGUCCAGAAAGUUGGCGGAUGAUGCGAGCCAACCUGUCGGUGUGCUGAACUCACUGCCGAGGAGCGGUCGUGAAGGAACUUUAGCGACUGACGGCUGACCGGCGUUAACGGUCCUAGAGCGGGCAGCGAUAGCUGCCAAGCAGGGUGGUACCGCGAAGUAUUUUCGUCCCUGGC